Molecule: long non-coding RNA, 98 nt
Organism: Xenia sp. Carnegie-2017
Lineage: Eukaryota; Metazoa; Cnidaria; Anthozoa; Malacalcyonacea; Xeniidae
Exons: 3
Source: RefSeq, a predicted model, not a curated record
AAGCAUUAAAGUGAGAGGAGAUGAGGAGGAGGCUACAAAUAAUAAAACGGUCGAUAUGAUCGAAACAUUUUGGGAAUACGAUUUGGAAGAAAUGCGAG